UACGGAAGGCAGCAGUGGGGAAUAUUGCACAAUGGGCGCAAGCCUGAUGCAGCCAUGCCGCGUGUAUGAAGAAGGCCUUCGGGUUGUAAAGUACUUUCAGUCGUGAGGAAGGUGUUAAGGUUAAUAACCUUAGCAAUUGACGUUAGCGACAGAAGAAGCACCGGCUAACUCCGUGCCAGCAGCCGCGGUAAUACGGAGGGUGCGAGCGUUAAUCGGAAUUACUGGGCGUAAAGGGCACGCAGGCGGUUAAUUAAGUUGGAUGUGAAAUCCCCGGGCUUAACCUGGGAAUGGCAUUCAAGACUGGUUAGCUAGAGUCUUGUAGGGGGGUAGAAUUCCAUGUGUAGCGGUGAAAUGCGUAGAGAUGUGGAGGAAUACCGGUGGCGAAGGCGGCCCCUGGACAAAGACUGACGCUCAUGUGCGAAAGCGUGGGGAGCAAACGAGGGAUUAGAUACC
This 453-nucleotide ribosomal RNA is filed under the name uncultured bacterium. Its description in RNAcentral is "bacterial SSU rRNA". It matches the Rfam family "Bacterial small subunit ribosomal RNA", at positions 340 to 786 of the family's 1533-position model. The record is from RNAcentral.